RNAcentral lists this ribosomal RNA (311 nucleotides) under uncultured eukaryote. RNAcentral describes it as "partial 18S ribosomal RNA". It matches the Rfam family "Eukaryotic small subunit ribosomal RNA", at positions 1470 to 1796 of the family's 1831-position model. The record is from RNAcentral.
CCCCUAGACGUUCUGGGCUGCACGCGCGCUACAAUAAUACGCACAGCGAGUAUCACCGAGCUCGAAAGGGCAAGGUAAACAAUAGAAAAGGUACUGUAAUGGUUAUAGAUCCUUGUAAUUAUUGAUCUUCAACGAGGAAUUCCUAGUAAGUAUGUGUCAUCAUCACGCACUGAUUACGUCCCUGCCCUUUGUAAACACCGCCCGUCGCUCCUACCGAUUGGGUGAGCCGAUGAAACUCUCGGAUGUAGGCUAUUCAUAGCCCGCAGAAGAGAUUUGAAUCGUAGCGCUUAGAGGAAGGAGAAGUCGUAACA